Molecule: long non-coding RNA, 426 nt
Organism: Brassica oleracea var. oleracea
Lineage: Eukaryota; Viridiplantae; Streptophyta; Magnoliopsida; Brassicales; Brassicaceae
Exons: 3
Source: RefSeq, a predicted model, not a curated record
AGCUGAAAGCUUAUCACUCUCUUGGAGUUAUGCAUAAAGAUCUGAAGCAUGAGAAUUUUCUUUUCCCUUUUUCUCAUGAAGAUGCUUUUGUUAAAUCUACAGACCAAACUUUUUGUAUCGUAUAUUAUACGUAUGCUUCUCCUUCUCGGAUCGGAUUAUGUCAUAGCAAGGUUUUGUUUACGUUAACUUUUUGUUAGAUUCAUUCAUGUUCUCAAUGUAGAUUCUCUGGUUAUGGAGAUUCAUUCAAAUUCAAAGUUUUGGGGCAAAUCCGUCUCUCUCAGCCUGAAUGGAACGAGAGCUUAAGAGUUGGGCAUUGUACUUCAUGAGGAGCUAUAUUCUUCACCAAGUACACAAGUGAUUUCAGGCAGCAGCUGGAAAGCAUUCAGAAGAUGAUGGAACCAUUUCCAUUGAUCGGCUUACUCACAG